AAUGGAGUCGAUUUAGCCAUGCUAGUUGCACGAGUUCAGACUCGUAGCAGAUAGCUCAGUAACACGUGGCCAAACUACCCUAUGGAUCCGAAUAACCUCGGGAAACUGAGGCUAAUUCGGAAUACGAUUCACCACCUGGAGUGGUGUGAAUCCGAAACGCUCCGGCGCCAUAGGAUGUGGCUGCGGCCGAUUAGGUAGACGGUGGGGUAACGGCCCACCGUGCCCAUAAUCGGUACGGGUUGUGAGAGCAAGAGCCCGGAGACGGUAUCUGAGACAAGAUACCGGGCCCUACGGGGCGCAGCAGGCGCGAAACCUUUACACUGCACGAAAGUGCGAUAAGGGGACUCCAAGUGCGAGGGCAUAUAGUCCUCGCUUUUUGCGACCGUAAGGUGGUCGCGGAAUAAGUGCUGGGCAAGACCGGUGCCAGCCGCCGCGGUAAUACCGGCAGCACGAGUGAUGACCGCUAUUAUUGGGCCUAAAGCGUCCGUAGCUGGCCAUGCAAGUCCAUCGGGAAAUCCGCGCGCUUAACGCGCGGGCGUCCGGUGGAAACUGCAUGGCUUGGGACCGGAAGACCAGAGGGGUACGUCCGGGGUAGGAGUGAAAUCCCGUAAUCCUGGACGGACCACCGGUGGCGAAAGCGCCUCUGGAAGACGGAUCCGACGGUGAGGGACGAAAGCUCGGGUCACGAACCGGAUUAGAU
This 700-nucleotide ribosomal RNA is filed under the name Haloterrigena sp. S1LM11. RNAcentral describes it as "bacterial SSU rRNA". It matches the Rfam family "Archaeal small subunit ribosomal RNA", at positions 32 to 734 of the family's 1478-position model. Lineage: Archaea; Methanobacteriati; Methanobacteriota; Halobacteria; Halobacteriales; Natrialbaceae. The record is from RNAcentral.